CCUACGGGAGGCAGCAGUGGGGAAUUUUCCGCAAUGGGCGCAAGCCUGACGGAGCAAGACCGCGUGAGGGAGGAAGGCCCAAGCGGUUGUAAACCUCUUUUCUCAGGGAAGAAGAAAGUGACGGUACCUGAGGAAUCAGCCUCGGCUAACUCCGUGCCAGCAGCCGCGGUAAUACGGAGGAGGCAAGCGUUAUCCGGAAUUAUUGGGCGUAAAGCGUCCGUAGGUGGUUAUGUAAGUCUGCUGUCAAAGCACAGGGCUUAACCCUGUAAAGGCAGUGGAAACUACAAGACUCGAGUGCGGUAGGGGCAGAGGGAAUUCCCAGUGUAGCGGUGAAAUGCGUAGAGAUUGGGAAGAACACCUGUGGCGAAAGCGCUCUGCUGGACCGCAACUGACACUCAGGGACGAAAGCUAGGGGAGCGAAUGGGAUUAGAUACCCUAGUAGU
RNAcentral lists this ribosomal RNA (443 nucleotides) under uncultured bacterium. RNAcentral's name for it is "bacterial SSU rRNA". It matches the Rfam family "Bacterial small subunit ribosomal RNA", at positions 338 to 794 of the family's 1533-position model. The record is from RNAcentral.